CGGGAGGCAGCAGUCGGGAAUUUUGGGCAAUGGGGGCAACCCUGACCCAGCAACGCCGCGUGAAGGAAGAAGUCCUUCGGGAUGUAAACUUCGGAAAUAUAGGAAGAAACAAAUGACNGGUACUAUAUCUAAGCCCCGGCUAACUCCGUGCCAGCAGCCGCGGUAAUACGGGAGGGGGCAAGCGUUGUUCGGAUUUACUGGGCGUAAAGGGCGCGUAGGCGGUCGAUCAAGUCACUUGUGAAAUCUCUGAGCUUAACUCAGAGCGGCCAAGUGAUACUGAUCAACUAGAGUGCAGAAGGGGCAACUGGAAUUCUUGGUGUAGCGGUGAAAUGCGUAGAUAUCAAGAGGAACACCUGAGGCGAAGGCGGGUUGCUGGGCUGACACUGACGCUGAGGCGCGAAAGCUAGGGGAGCAAACAGGAUUAGAUACCCUGGUAGUCCUAGCCUUAAACGAUGGAUGCUUGGUGUCUGGAGUAACAGUCUCCGGGUGCCGUCGCUAACGCUGUUAGCAUCCCGCCUGGGGAGUACGCACGCAAGUGUGAAACUCAAAAAAAUUGACGG
This 560-nucleotide ribosomal RNA is filed under the name uncultured bacterium. RNAcentral's name for it is "bacterial SSU rRNA". It matches the Rfam family "Bacterial small subunit ribosomal RNA", at positions 342 to 916 of the family's 1533-position model. The record is from RNAcentral.